GAUCCCGUAGCUCAAUUGGAUAGAGCGUCGGCCUGCGGAGCCGGAGGUUGGUGGUUCGAGCCCACUCGGGAUCG
Molecule: transfer RNA, 74 nt
Filed under: Phycisphaerae bacterium
Lineage: Bacteria; Pseudomonadati; Planctomycetota; Phycisphaerae
Description: tRNA-Arg
Rfam family: tRNA
About the family: Transfer RNA (tRNA) molecules are approximately 80 nucleotides in length. Their secondary structure includes four short double-helical elements and three loops (D, anti-codon, and T loops). Further hydrogen bonds mediate the characteristic L-shaped molecular structure. tRNAs have two regions of fundamental functional importance: the anti-codon, which is responsible for specific mRNA codon recognition, and the 3' end, to which the tRNAs corresponding amino acid is attached (by aminoacyl-tRNA synthetases). tRNAs cope with the degeneracy of the genetic code in two manners: having more than one tRNA (with a specific anti-codon) for a particular amino acid; and 'wobble' base-pairing, i.e. permitting non-standard base-pairing at the 3rd anti-codon position.
Source: RNAcentral